UACGUAGGGGGCAAGCGUUGUCCGGAAUUACUGGGCGUAAAGGGUGCGUAGGCGGCCUUACAAGUCAGAGGUGAAAGGCUACGGCUUAACCCCGGGGCUGCACAUGAAACUGUUAGACUUGAGGGCAGGAGAGGGGAGUGGAAUUCCCGGUGUAGCGGUGACAUGCGUAGAUAUCGGGAGGAACACCAGUGGCGAAGGCGACUCUCUGGCCUGUAACUGACGCUGAGGCGCGAAAGCGUGGGGAGCAAACAGG
RNAcentral lists this ribosomal RNA (253 nucleotides) under uncultured bacterium. RNAcentral describes it as "partial 16S ribosomal RNA". It matches the Rfam family "Bacterial small subunit ribosomal RNA", at positions 524 to 776 of the family's 1533-position model. The record is from RNAcentral.